GUCCUUUUGAAUAUAAUUUAAGGUCUAACCUGCCCACUGAAUACUUAAAUGGCCGCGGUAAUUUGACCGUGCUAAGGUAGCAUAAUCAUUAGUUUUUUGAUUGAAAGCUGGAAUGAAGGGUUGGAUGAGAAAAUAUCUGUUUCUAUUUAAUUUUAAUUGAAUUUUAUUUUUAAGUUAAAAAGCUUAAAUUUUAUUAAAAGACGAGAAGACCCUUUAGAGUUUUAUAUAAAAUUUAAUUUAAUAUAUUAGGAAUAUAAGUAUGAAUUAAUUUUUAUAAUUAAUUGGGGUGAUUGAAAAAUUUAAUGAACUUUUUUUAUAUUUUAAACAUUGAUUUAUGAUUUUUUGAUCCAUAUAUUUUGAUUAUAAGAUUAAAUUACCUAAGGGAUAACAGCGUAAUUUUUUUUGAGAGUUCUAAUCGAUAAAGAAGAUUGCGACCUCGAUGUUGGAUUAAAAUUUAUUUUUGGUGUAGGAGCUAAAAAGAUUAGGUCUGUUCGACCUUUAAAAUUUUACAUGA
RNAcentral lists this ribosomal RNA (514 nucleotides) under Mesosa curculionoides. RNAcentral's name for it is "partial large subunit ribosomal RNA". The stretch from base 384 to 514 matches the Rfam family "Bacterial large subunit ribosomal RNA", at positions 2473 to 2603 of the family's 2925-position model. The record is from RNAcentral. Lineage: Eukaryota; Metazoa; Arthropoda; Insecta; Coleoptera; Cerambycidae.